CCUACGGGGAGCAGCAGUGAGGAAUAUUGGUCAAUGGACGCAAGUCUGAACCAGCCAUGCCGCGUGCAGGAAGACGGCUCUAUGAGUUGUAAACUGCUUUUGUACGAGGGUAAAUCCCGAUACGUGUAUCGGGUUGAAAGUAUCGUACGAAUAAGGAUCGGCUAACUCCGUGCCAGCAGCCGCGGUAAUACGGAGGAUUCAAGCGUUAUCCGGAUUUAUUGGGUUUAAAGGGUGCGUAGGCGGUUCGAUAAGUUAGAGGUGAAAUCCCGGGGCUCAACUCCGGCACUGCCUCUGAUACUGUCGGGCUAGAGUUUAGUUGCGGUAGGCGGAAUGUAUGGUGUAGCGGUGAAAUGCAUAGAUAUCGCGCAGAACUCCGAUUGCGAAGGCAGCGUACCGGCGCCAGACUGACGCUGAGGCACGAAAGCGUGGGGAUCGAACAGGAUUAGAUACCCGAGUAGUC
RNAcentral lists this ribosomal RNA (460 nucleotides) under uncultured bacterium. RNAcentral's name for it is "partial 16S ribosomal RNA". It matches the Rfam family "Bacterial small subunit ribosomal RNA", at positions 338 to 795 of the family's 1533-position model. The record is from RNAcentral.